GGAGGAAAGCAGGGGAUCGAAAGACCUUAUGCUUUUGGAGCGGCCGAUGUCUGAUUAGCUAGUUGGUAAGGUAAUGGCUUACCAAGGCAACGAUCAGUAGUUGGUCUGAGAGGACGACCAGCCACACUGGGACUGAGACACGGCCCAGACUCCUACGGGAGGCAGCAGUGGGGAAUUUUGGACAAUGGGCGCAAGCCUGAUCCAGCAAUGCCGCGUGAGUGAAGAAGGCCUUCGGGUUGUAAAGCUCUUUCAGUUGAGAAGAAAAGAUUGUGACUAAUAAUUGCAAUUCAUGACGGUAUCAACAGAAGAAGCACCGGCUAACUACGUGCCAGCAGCCGCGGUAAUACGUAGGGUGCGAGCGUUAAUCGGAAUUACUGGGCGUAAAGGGUGCGCAGGCGGUUCUGUAAGUCAGAUGUGAAAUCCCCGGGCUUAACCUGGGAACUGCGUUUGAAACUACAAAGCUA
RNAcentral lists this ribosomal RNA (464 nucleotides) under uncultured Nitrosomonas sp. Its description in RNAcentral is "bacterial SSU rRNA". It matches the Rfam family "Bacterial small subunit ribosomal RNA", at positions 198 to 643 of the family's 1533-position model. Lineage: Bacteria; Pseudomonadati; Pseudomonadota; Betaproteobacteria; Nitrosomonadales; Nitrosomonadaceae. The record is from RNAcentral.